This 109-nucleotide small nucleolar RNA is filed under the name Cephalotus follicularis. RNAcentral describes it as "Plant small nucleolar RNA R71". It matches the Rfam family "Plant small nucleolar RNA R71". From Rfam's summary of the family: R71 is a member of the C/D box family of snoRNAs containing the C (UGAUGA) and D (CUGA) box motifs. The record is from Rfam by way of RNAcentral. Lineage: Eukaryota; Viridiplantae; Streptophyta; Magnoliopsida; Oxalidales; Cephalotaceae.
ACAACAUGAUGGGGACAUUUUCGGAUAAGAUCCUUUAAUCUUUCCCAUGAUUCAAGGAACUGCUCACUAUCAUGCUGUGUAAAGCUUGAGGAACUCGUGCUGUAAUUGU